Molecule: long non-coding RNA, 148 nt
Organism: Bufo bufo (common toad)
Lineage: Eukaryota; Metazoa; Chordata; Amphibia; Anura; Bufonidae
Exons: 3
Source: RefSeq, a predicted model, not a curated record
UGUAGCAUGCGUUUCCAAUAAGGCAACUAUUGCGGGAAGAUGUCGAAUAAUCAGAUCAAAGACCACAACCCGUUUCGUUCUAUCACCCAGUCCACGCACAUUCCAUAUCAUAACUCUAUUAUUCGUCAUCAUGAUUUAUGAGAGGAGG